GACGGGGGGGGCUAGUGUUAUUCGGGAUGACUAGGCGUAAAGGGCACGUAGGCGGUGAAUCCGGUUGAAAGUGAAAGUCGCCAGCUCAACUGGCGGAAUGCUUUCAAAACCAAUUCACUUGAGUAAGAUAGAGGAUAGUGGAAUUUCGUGUGUAGAGAUAAAAUUCACAGAUAUACGAAGGAACACCAAAAGCGAAGGCAGCUUUCUGGGUCUCUACUGACGCUCAGGUGCGAAAGCAUAGGGAGCAAACAGG
Molecule: ribosomal RNA, 253 nt
Filed under: uncultured bacterium
Lineage: Bacteria
Description: partial 16S ribosomal RNA
Rfam family: Bacterial small subunit ribosomal RNA
Source: RNAcentral